UACGGAGGAUGCAAGCGUUGUCCGGAAUGAUUGGGCGUAAAGCGUCCGCAGGUGGUUAUACAAGUCUGCUGUCAAAGCGCAAGGCUCAACCUUGUAAAGGCAGUGGAAACUGUGUGACUAGAGAGUGAUAGGGGCAGAGGGAAUUCCCAGUGUAGCGGUGAAAUGCGUAGAGAUUGGGAAGAACACCGGUGGCGAAAGCGCUCUGCUGGGUCAUAUCUGACACUGAGGGACGAAAGUGUGGGGAUCAAACAGG
RNAcentral lists this ribosomal RNA (253 nucleotides) under uncultured bacterium. Its description in RNAcentral is "partial 16S ribosomal RNA". It matches the Rfam family "Bacterial small subunit ribosomal RNA", at positions 524 to 776 of the family's 1533-position model. The record is from RNAcentral.